This is a small nucleolar RNA of Acomys russatus (golden spiny mouse), 128 nucleotides long. RefSeq annotates it as small nucleolar RNA SNORA17. The record is from RefSeq and is a predicted model, not a curated record. Lineage: Eukaryota; Metazoa; Chordata; Mammalia; Rodentia; Muridae. The transcript has a single exon.
AAUGCCCCUAUGUUCUAGGUGUGGCUGCUGUGUCACGUGUGUAUCAGUAAGUAGCAGAGAGGAAAGAAGCUAUGUCUAAGCUCAGUGUUCUGACCUAUGAGCAUCUGAAUGAUCAGCGGCCUAACUUU